Molecule: ribosomal RNA, 1372 nt
Filed under: uncultured bacterium
Lineage: Bacteria
Description: bacterial SSU rRNA
Rfam family: Bacterial small subunit ribosomal RNA
Source: RNAcentral
GAUGAACGCUGGCGGCGUGCCUAAUACAUGCAAGUCGAGCGAACGGACGAGAAGCUUGCUUCUCUGAUGUUAGCGGCGGACGGGUGAGUAACACGUGGAUAACCUACCUAUAAGACUGGGAUAACUUCGGGAAACCGGAGCUAAUACCGGAUAAUAUUUUGAACCGCAUGGUUCAAAAGUGAAAGACGGUCUUGCUGUCACUUAUAGAUGGAUCCGCGCUGCAUUAGCUAGUUGGUAAGGUAACGGCUUACCAAGGCAACGAUGCAUAGCCGACCUGAGAGGGUGAUCGGCCACACUGGAACUGAGACACGGUCCAGACUCCUACGGGAGGCAGCAGUAGGGAAUCUUCCGCAAUGGGCGAAAGCCUGACGGAGCAACGCCGCGUGAGUGAUGAAGGUCUUCGGAUCGUAAAACUCUGUUAUUAGGGAAGAACAUAUGUGUAAGUAACUGUGCACAUCUUGACGGUACCUAAUCAGAAAGCCACGGCUAACUACGUGCCAGCAGCCGCGGUAAUACGUAGGUGGCAAGCGUUAUCCGGAAUUAUUGGGCGUAAAGCGCGCGUAGGCGGUUUUUUAAGUCUGAUGUGAAAGCCCACGGCUCAGCCGUGGAGGGUCAUUGGAAACUGGAAAACUUGAGUGCAGAAGAGGAAAGUGGAACUCCAUGUGUAGCGGUGAAAUGCGCAGAGAUAUGGAGGAACACCAGUGGCGAAGGCGACUUUCUGGUCUGUAACUGACGCUGAUGUGCGAAAGCGUGGGGAUCAAACAGGAUUAGAUACCCUGGUAGUCCACGCCGUAAACGAUGAGUGCUAAGUGUUAGGGGGUUUCCGCCCCUUAGUGCUGCAGCUAACGCAUUAAGCACUCCGCCUGGGGAGUACGACCGCAAGGUUGAAACUCAAAGGAAUUGACGGGGACCCGCACAAGCGGUGGAGCAUGUGGUUUAAUUCGAAGCAACGCGAAGAACCUUACCAAAUCUUGACAUCCUUUGACAACUCUAGAGAUAGAGCCUUCCCCUUCGGGGGACAAAGUGACAGGUGGUGCAUGGUUGUCGUCAGCUCGUGUCGUGAGAUGUUGGGUUAAGUCCCGCAACGAGCGCAACCCUUAAGCUUAGUUGCCAUCAUUAAGUUGGGCACUCUAAGUUGACUGCCGGUGACAAACCGGAGGAAGGUGGGGAUGACGUCAAAUCAUCAUGCCCCUUAUGAUUUGGGCUACACACGUGCUACAAUGGACAAUACAAAGGGCAGCGAAACCGCGAGGUCAAGCAAAUCCCAUAAAGUUGUUCUCAGUUCGGAUUGUAGUCUGCAACUCGACUACAUGAAGCUGGAAUCGCUAGUAAUCGUAGAUCAGCAUGCUACGGUGAAUACGUUCCCGGGUCU